AGUAAAUACAUCGGAACGUACCCAGUAGUGGGGGAUAGCUCGGCGAAAGCCGGAUUAAUACCGCAUACGACCUAUGGGUGAAAGCGGGGGAUCGCAAGACCUCGCGCUAUUGGAGCGGCCGAUGUCGGAUUAGCUAGUUGGUGAGGUAAAGGCUCACCAAGGCUACGAUCCGUAGCUGGUCUGAGAGGACGACCAGCCACACUGGGACUGAGACACGGCCCAG
Molecule: ribosomal RNA, 223 nt
Filed under: uncultured bacterium
Lineage: Bacteria
Description: partial 16S ribosomal RNA
Rfam family: Bacterial small subunit ribosomal RNA
Source: RNAcentral